GCACGGAUAGCUCAGUUGGUAGAGCUCCUGAUUUACAUUCAGGCUGUCGGGGGUUCGAGUCCCUCUCCGUGUACCA
Molecule: transfer RNA, 76 nt
Filed under: Akkermansiaceae bacterium
Lineage: Bacteria; Pseudomonadati; Verrucomicrobiota; Verrucomicrobiia; Verrucomicrobiales; Akkermansiaceae
Description: tRNA-Val
Rfam family: tRNA
About the family: Transfer RNA (tRNA) molecules are approximately 80 nucleotides in length. Their secondary structure includes four short double-helical elements and three loops (D, anti-codon, and T loops). Further hydrogen bonds mediate the characteristic L-shaped molecular structure. tRNAs have two regions of fundamental functional importance: the anti-codon, which is responsible for specific mRNA codon recognition, and the 3' end, to which the tRNAs corresponding amino acid is attached (by aminoacyl-tRNA synthetases). tRNAs cope with the degeneracy of the genetic code in two manners: having more than one tRNA (with a specific anti-codon) for a particular amino acid; and 'wobble' base-pairing, i.e. permitting non-standard base-pairing at the 3rd anti-codon position.
Source: RNAcentral